CUAAUGGGUGCGGGAUAGCAGAGAGAGAUGUUAAUUAGCAUGUGCUUGGCUCGAAUUAUGAGGAGGAUGUUAUUUAUAAGAAAUUUUUUUUCCAAUAGCGGUCGCUCCUUGUAUUUUUGACCAUAAAAAAACUCCUCAUAAAAAAACCAUCUGCUCAAAACUCUUAGUCCCUCGAUUUGUGGAAAAUAUCAAGACGCACACAAAUAAUAGGAGGAGGAGAUCCGCCAAAACACCGAACAAAGGGGGUAAGCGCCAAGUAAGACUUCUGUCCAAAUGUAUACCCAGGUGGCUUGUCAACAGGAUUUUGGCUCUUCAGGUCAUCUGAAAUGAAGGAGUUAAACUGAUUAUUAUUCUGUAGGCUUGUCAUUGCUCUUAUUUGGUAUGUCUGAUGUGUAAAUCAUAUAUGUAACAUUGGCCCUAGCUAACCAGGCUACCUCGAGGAACUCCAUCCAU
Anastrepha ludens (Mexican fruit fly) is the source of this 453-nucleotide long non-coding RNA. RefSeq lists it as uncharacterized. Lineage: Eukaryota; Metazoa; Arthropoda; Insecta; Diptera; Tephritidae. The record is from RefSeq and is a predicted model, not a curated record. The transcript is spliced from 3 exons.